UCCCUGAUGGUCCAGUGGUUAGGACUCUGAGCUUCCACUGCAGGGGUCCUGGGUUCCAUCCCUGGUCAGAGAA
Molecule: non-coding RNA, 73 nt
Organism: Bos taurus (domestic cattle)
Lineage: Eukaryota; Metazoa; Chordata; Mammalia; Artiodactyla; Bovidae
Source: Rfam